Molecule: ribosomal RNA, 600 nt
Filed under: uncultured bacterium
Lineage: Bacteria
Description: bacterial SSU rRNA
Rfam family: Bacterial small subunit ribosomal RNA
Source: RNAcentral
GAGUUUGAUCAUGGCUCAGAACGAACGCUGGCGGCAGGCCUAACACAUGCAAGUCGAGCGAGACCUUCGGGUCUAGCGGCGGACGGGUUAGUAACGCGUGGGAACGUGCCCUUCUCUGCGGAAUAGCCACUGGAAACGGUGAGUAAUACCGCAUACGCCCUUCGGGGGAAAGAUUUAUCGGAGAAGGAUCGGCCCGCGUUAGAUUAGAUAGUUGGUGGGGUAACGGCCUACCAAGUCUACGAUCUAUAGCUGGUUUUAGAGGAUGAUCAGCAACACUGGGACUGAGACACGGCCCAGACUCCUACGGGAGGCAGCAGUGGGGAAUCUUAGACAAUGGGCGCAAGCCUGAUCUAGCCAUGCCGCGUGUGUGAUGAAGGUCUUAGGAUCGUAAAGCACUUUCGCCAGGGAUGAUAAUGACAGUACCUGGUAAAGAAACCCCGGCUAACUCCGUGCCAGCAGCCGCGGUAAUACGGAGGGGGUUAGCGUUGUUCGGAAUUACUGGGCGUAAAGCGCGCGUAGGCGGAUUGGAAAGUUGGGGGUGAAAUCCCGGGGCUCAACCCCGGAACUGCCUCCAAAACUAUCAGUCUAGAGUUCGAGAGA